UUGCAGAUUACUCAAAUGUCAUUAUUUUAUCAUAUCUUUUUCAGGCAAGAUCCUCUAGCCUGAUGACAACGUAACAAGAAGCAUCAUCUGAACAAUGAAGAAGACAUGGAUUGGAAAAGAUCCUUGGGCAUGUGACAGAAAUAAAUGAUUCAGGGGGAUGGGAGUCUGCACCUGCCUUGCACUCGGUGACAGAGAGAGCUAACAGGAGAAUUUCACAAUCUGGAAUAAGCAAAGGACAAGGUGAUGAUGGAAAAAAUUAGCUCUUUGUUUAGUAAAUCAUUAUCACUAAUGAACAUGCAAGUACAACUUUCCUGAUUUUUAAAAAAGACUUUUUGCAACAGCUGAGAUGAAAGGGUCAAAUCUCACGUAAGAAAUCCUACUCCAAUUUUGCUGCUAAUAAUGGAAAAAGCAACUGAAUAUCUAGAUUCAGCAAAACCACAAAAACAGUCAGUUAAUGAGUAAUUUCUUUUAACUGGGUGUUUAUACUAAAUAGCUUGGAAUUGUGAUAAUUAUAAUUUGC
This 520-nucleotide long non-coding RNA is filed under the name Parus major (Great Tit). Its description in RNAcentral is "lncRNA (ENSPMJG00000019928.1)". The record is from RNAcentral. Lineage: Eukaryota; Metazoa; Chordata; Aves; Passeriformes; Paridae.